Molecule: long non-coding RNA, 1285 nt
Organism: Coffea arabica (coffee)
Lineage: Eukaryota; Viridiplantae; Streptophyta; Magnoliopsida; Gentianales; Rubiaceae
Source: RefSeq, a predicted model, not a curated record
CCUAUUUCACUUCUUCUUCCCUCCGCUGCUCAAAACAAAUUUCUCAAUUCAAUUCAAUCUCAAUGCCCACCAAAUCUCUGCGAAAAAAAUGUCAAAUGAAGAUCGAAAUCUCAUUGCCGGAGCCCAUUUGGCUACUGUGGAAGCAAAGCGACGUCGUCAAACCGGUUGUUACUUGCUUUCCCAGUUGCAAAAUUGCGCUUCGGCCAAGUUUCAGAAAGUGCCUUUAAUUAAGUUUUUUUAAUAAUUUGUAAAAUCUUGCAUAUUUGCACUCAUAAUUAUCGUGGGCUUUGCUGAAUUUGAAAUAGUAAGGCUUUUGAUCCAAGAGUGCAUAAAGGAAAUGCUGAGUUAACUCGGCGGCGGCCAGACAACCGCUGAGAUGGAUCCACAGAUGAAUGCCCCCUUUUCCAUACGGCAUUUAUCUACUAAAUCCAUCUUACAUUAUUCUAUUUUAUUUCCUUUCAACUUCUGAUUUUUCGUUAAGUGUAGUAAAAGUUAGCAGGUUUGUUCCUGGGCAAGUUCAGAAUCAUGAUUAGGCGAGGUGGGGAUUGUGUAGUUUAACAUAAUCAGUAAACGCUGCGAUUGAUUUGAUGUACUGUUGGAUACCUGAAAUGUGCACACAGUGAAAAUCUUGCUGCAUGAUAAAUCUGCACCGUGAAAGUGUGUGGUGUGGGUAUGCAGCUGUUUUUCGUCUAUUGUAUUUCUUCGAACAACUGGGCAAGUGGCAGGUUUAAGUUCUGAAUCCGUUCAGCACUUGGCGUAAAGGAACAAGUACUUCAGUGAAGUAAUCUUCCUGGCUGAUCACUGCAAUAUUAUGUUAAUUGAGUUUACUAAGGAGCUUAGUGACUGUGUAUAAUAGGUGCUGUAUUUGUCAGUGUGUACUGCACCAAUGAUUAAAUUCAUACAGAAUAGUUGAGAUCUUAUGUAUUUGUUGGCAGUUGGUUUGAGAGCUGAUAAAUGGGCUUCUUACCGAUGAGAAUUCUGCUGUGACAUUUGUGCCUUGCCAUAUUGUACUCGGAUACUUCCAACAUAUGAACUUCGUUGCACUAUUUAAGUGCCAGAAGCAAUACGUUGGAUGUGUAGCAGUUUGUUAAAAUUGUCAUGCUGAGUUUUAAAUUGCCAUUUUUUAGGUUGAGGUUUAUGUGAAAUACAAAGUGAUCAAACCCUCGUAGGACAAUGGCGCUGGAGCUUCAGCGUAUGCUUAAAAGGGAAAUAGGGGAUCAGCUUUUACACUCUACAUUGCAAAUUAUUGGCAGAUUAUAAAACAAUACAAGUAAUGGGGCAUCUA